UGCCACGUAGCUCAGUUGGCAGAGCAUUGGGCUAGCAUUCCAAAGGUCGUAGGUUCGAUUCCCACCGUGGUCA
Molecule: transfer RNA, 73 nt
Filed under: Paramuricea clavata
Lineage: Eukaryota; Metazoa; Cnidaria; Anthozoa; Malacalcyonacea; Plexauridae
Rfam family: tRNA
About the family: Transfer RNA (tRNA) molecules are approximately 80 nucleotides in length.
Source: Rfam by way of RNAcentral